Long non-coding RNA from Helicoverpa armigera (cotton bollworm), 2529 nucleotides. RefSeq lists it as uncharacterized. The record is from RefSeq and is a predicted model, not a curated record. Lineage: Eukaryota; Metazoa; Arthropoda; Insecta; Lepidoptera; Noctuidae. The transcript has 2 exons.
UCAUCUUUAGCGCAAAGUCGGAUGCUAGACAGUAAUGAAGAUAUUUCAGAGGAUGAUGAUAGUUCAGAGAAGGUUUCGAAGCCUAUUCUAUGUAAAGAAACAAUCAAAUCUAUCUCUCCUCUUUAUAUGUAAGCAUAUGUCGGAGACUGUCAAUAGUACGGACACUAAACGUCACGCAAGCGCGCCCUCUGGUGGCGUUUCCGGUGAAACAACAUUUUGGCGCGCUUGGCAGAGUAGUGGUGGUCGGCGUGGCGUCCGCGAAGCUCAGUCUUGGUCGAGUCGUCGUGCUGCGCACAUCUCGAUACUGCCUUUCGUUACGUGUAGUGUACCUAGUGUUAUUGCCUAGUGUUGUAGUACUGUUGUAGAUCCAUAUUGUAAAGUGUCUUUUGAAAUUAAAGUGUAAAGGUUCUUCUAACCUAACAGACAGACAUGUGUUGCUGGGGAGUUUGUUCCGCCACUUCUUCUCCCCAAGCCAAAACACAUAGGAAGUGGCGAAGGGCGGGCGUUUUGGGGGCUGUCUUUUGUUCUGACUAAUUUGAAUAAACGUUUGACUUUUGAGUUCGUUUGAAUUUUGAGUUUCUUUGAGUUAUCUCUUUGCUUGAUUACCCUAACUGAUGUCGGACGAUAGUGCCAUCCUUGAUGUUCGCCUCCGACAUCAGAAGUGGGAUGCAAUCCGAAUGCCCACAUGCGUUUCGAAUUCGCCAUGCGAAGAUAAAUUUCUACCCACUAACAAAAAAAAAAAAUGUAACGUCAAUAAUUUGAAAUGGAGUUUGUAGUAGAAGAUUUAUUAAGAAUUUCAGCGAAGGUACAAGUAUGGUAACCACGGUUAUGGUAAUGGUAUCGUUUUCCAUUGUUACAUGUCAAGCUACUUAUUGAAGGUAUGCUAGAAAAUUAACCGAAUUUGUCUUUUUUUUCAUGUUUCAACAAUGACGGUGGUUAUUGUGCAAUAUGGCGUCAAAAUUAUUGCGGAGCAUCCCAGCUGCCUGCCAGGAGCCCAACGUGUCAUCGUGAGGUCGGAGUGUUGGUGCUCGUGCAUCUACGUGGCUUCACGUCCGCGAAAGCCUUGCUGUACUGCGCGCCAUAGCGAUGUGCGCAUCGUCAUGCGCGUUGAGGUGUUGAGUGGAAACCCGGUGAGACCGAUCCAUUUUUGCUUUAUUUUGAGGUUAUUUGUCUUACGACAUUUAUAAACUUGAGAGACAGUUUCAGUCUCGUUGAUUGCGCUACCACUGCGCUUAUUAAUUGGUGGAAUCGUAGAUAAUCAGAAACCUAGGUUCACAGAUAACAUCUAAGGUGAACCGAGCCUGGAGAACAGGACGAGGUCCACUAGUCAAGCGGCGCGCGAGGUGCGCUGCAGUUGCUGUUUGGAGCGUCAUCCUCCCCCGGAUUUGUUGUGGAGGCCGUAUGAGUUGCGGCAGGCCAGGACAUCGCAUGUCAUCGCACAAGGUGAAAGCAUUCUAUUGCAUUGAAAAUGUUUAGAUUGAUCAGACAAACUUGACAAUGACUAGCCUGUGUGGCAGCUAGGAGCCUGUGUGGCAGCUAGGAGCCUGUGUGGCAGCUAGGAGCCUGUGUGGCAGCUAGGAGCCUGUGUGGCAGCUAGGAGCCUGUGUGGCAGCUAGGAGCCUGUGUGGCAGCUAGGAGCCUGUGUGGCAGCUAGGAGCCUGUGUGGCAGUUAGGAGCCUGUGUGGCAGUUAGGAGCCUGUGUGGCAGUUAGGAGCCUGUGUGGCAGUUGGUAGCCUGUGUGGCAGUUGGUAGCCUGUGUGGCAGUUGGUAGCCUGUGUGGCAGUUGGUAGCCUGUGUGGCAGUUGGUAGCCUGUGUGGCAGUUGGUAGCCUGUGUGGCAAUUGGUAGCCUGUGUGGCAGUUGAUAGCCUGUGUGGCAGUUGGUAGCCUGUGUGGCAUUCAAGUGUGAGCGAUAUUAAUAAGCCUGUGUGGCGUAAUUAUGACCCUAUGUGGUUCUGUGGUUCAGAUGGAUCUGUGUGACUUUUGUUCAGUGUGCUACAUAGUGGUCAGGAGUGGCCGAGGUUGUACUGUGCAUACUGUGCUGUGUUUGUGUUGUUGCAGAUUAACCCACGAGGACGUGGGUCUACGCAGGAUGGCCGUGUCGGAGACUGUCAAUAGUACGGACACUAAACGUCACGCAAGCGCGCCCUCUGGUGGCGUUUCCGGUGAAACAACAUUUUGGCGCGCUUGGCAGAGUAGUGGUGGUCGGCGUGGCGUCCGCGAAGCUCAGUCUUGGUCGAGUCGUCGUGCUGCGCACAUCUCGAUACUGCCUUUCGUUACGUGUAGUGUACCUAGUGUUAUUGCCUAGUGUUGUAGUACUGUUGUAGAUCCAUAUUGUAAAGUGUCUUUUGAAAUUAAAGUGUAAAGGUUCUUCUAACCUAACAGACAGACAUGUGUUGCUGGGGAGUUUGUUCCGCCACUUCUUCUCCCCAAGCCAAAACACAUAGGAAGUGGCGAAGGGCGGGCGUUUUGGGGGCUGUCUUUUGUUCUGACUAAUUUGAAUAAACGUUUGACUUUUGAGUUCGUUUGAA